AACGAACGCUGGCGGCAUGCCUAACACAUGCAAGUCGAACGAGACCUUCGGGUCUAUUGGCGCACGGGUUCGUAACGCGUGGGAACCUGCCCUUAUGUUCGGAAUAACUCCCCGAAAGGGGUGCUAAUACCGGAUAAUGUCUUCGGACCAAAGAUUUAUCGCCUUUGGAUGGGCCCGCGUUGGAUUAGCUAGUUGGUAGGGUAAAAGCCUACCAAGGCGACGAUCCAUAGCUGGUCUGAGAGGAUGAUCAGCCACACUGGGACUGAGACACGGCCCAGACUCCUACGGGAGGCAGCAGUGGGGAAUAUUGGACAAGGGGCGAAAGCCUGAUCCAGCAAUGCCGCGUGAGUGAUGAAGGCAUUAGGGUUGUAAAGCUCUUUUAACCGGGAUGAUAAUGACAGUACCGGGAGAAUAAGCGCCGGCUAACUACGUG
This 433-nucleotide ribosomal RNA is filed under the name uncultured bacterium. RNAcentral describes it as "partial 16S ribosomal RNA". It matches the Rfam family "Bacterial small subunit ribosomal RNA", at positions 29 to 507 of the family's 1533-position model. The record is from RNAcentral.